GAUGAACGCCGGCGGCGUGCCUAAUACAUGCAAGUCGAGCGAACGGACGAGAAGCUUGCUUCUCUGAUGUUAGCGGCGGACGGGUGAGUAACACGUGGAUAACCUACCUAUAAGACUGGGAUAACUUCGGGAAACCGGAGCUAAUACCGGAUAAUAUUUUGAACCGCAUGGUUCAAAAGUGAAAGACGGUCUUGCUGUCACUUAUAGAUGGAUCCGCGCUGCAUUAGCUAGUUGGUAAGGUAACGGCUUACCAAGGCAACGAUGCAUAGCCGACCUGAGAGGGUGAUCGGCCACACUGGAACUGAGACACGGUCCAGACUCCUACGGGAGGCAGCAGUAGGGAAUCUUCCGCAAUGGGCGAAAGCCUGACGGAGCAACGCCGCGUGAGUGAUGAAGGUCUGCGGAUCGUAAAACUCUGUUAUUAGGGAAGAACAUAUGUGUAAGUAACUGUGCACAUCUUGACGGUACCUAAUCAGAAAGCCACGGCUAACUACGU
Molecule: ribosomal RNA, 496 nt
Filed under: uncultured bacterium
Lineage: Bacteria
Description: partial 16S ribosomal RNA
Rfam family: Bacterial small subunit ribosomal RNA
Source: RNAcentral